AUGUCCCGUGCGCCGGCGACCAGCGCCGCAUCCCACCGCCGCCGCGGCAAGCGGCGCAUCGUCGGCGCCCACGGCACCGAAUCCCUUCCUCGCGGCCGCAGCCACCUCCUCGCCUUCCGCUCCUUCACCCUCCGCUUCGCCCUCGCCGCCCCGCCCCACCGCCGCCGCAAGCGCCGCCCCGCCCCCAGUCCCCGCCACCGCCGCAGUAGCGUUGUUGACCCCAGCCGCUUCCUCGCCCCCCGCCCGUUCGUCCUCCGCUACCUCCUCGCGGCCGGCGCAUCGGCCCCUUGCCGCCGUCGGAAGGCCUCCGUGAUAGACAUGGGCCACCUCCUCUCGCGGCUGCUGAGGGAGAGCACCGGCGAAGGCGGCUCAAGGGUACGCAAGAGGCGCGACAAGGGAUUGCGGGAGGUGAUAGAUCUCACUGCGAAUAGGGUUCAAGCUGACAAGGCCAAUGCCGCCAGGUGGGGUAUUGGCGAUGUGAGCAGCAUCACACUGGAGGAGGUGCCCGACGAUAGUCCCAAAGAGGAUCUGUCUGAAUUAUUUGCACCUCUCACAAAUGAAGAAGAAAGUGAAGUAAACAACUUAUUGAAUGGUAGUGCUCACAGUAAAAAAAUAAUAGUGCUGCAUAAGCCUUCAAACAUUGAGAUUACCAAAGAGAAACUAUGGUGUUUGAGGCCUCGUGGUUGGUUAAACAAUGAGGUCAUCAAUUUGUACCUUGAAUUAUUAAAGGAGAGAGCAGAAAGAGAACCCAAAAGAUUUUUAAAAUGCCACUUCUUUAACACAUUCUUUUAUACGAAGCUUGCUUGUGGAAAAACUGGUUAUGACUAUCAAUCUGUUAGAAGAUGGACAACCCCCAACAAGUUGGGUUAUAGGCUUGCGGAUUGUGAGAAAAUAUUUAUUCCAGUACACAGAGAUGUACAUUGGUGCUUGGCAAUUAUUGACAUGAAGGAAGAAACUUUUCAUUAUCUUGAUUCUCUUGGUGGCAAGGACAGUGGCGUACUGAGGAUACUGGCUAGAUAUAUUAUGGAUGAAUUGAAGGACAAGAAUAACAUAGAGAUAGACACAAGUUCUUGGCGGGUAGUAUCUGUUCAUAUUCCUUUGCAACAUAAUGGAUGGGAUUGUGGUAUGUUUAUGCUCAAGUUCAUCGAUUUCUACAGCAGAGGUCUCAUACUAUCUUUUAGUCAGGAACAUAUGGAAUAUUUUAGGAUGCGGACAGCAAAGGAGAUCCUGAGAUUAAGAGCUGAUUAA
This 1248-nucleotide ribosomal RNA is filed under the name Triticum aestivum (bread wheat). Its description in RNAcentral is "partial small subunit ribosomal RNA". The record is from RNAcentral. Lineage: Eukaryota; Viridiplantae; Streptophyta; Magnoliopsida; Poales; Poaceae.